Long non-coding RNA from Lolium perenne, 713 nucleotides. RefSeq lists it as uncharacterized. The record is from RefSeq and is a predicted model, not a curated record. NCBI's taxonomy places the organism in Eukaryota, Viridiplantae, Streptophyta, Magnoliopsida, Poales, Poaceae.
GACGAUCGAUGGCGGGGCGCUUCUUCGACAUGGGGCGGCAAGGAGGCUCGGUGUGGUUCCGUGGUCCAGCGAGCUCGGCCCAAGGCUCAUGCACACCGAGGAGCAAACCCAUCACGAAAUUAUGCGUGAGGUCCAGCAGAAGAAGGAAGAACUCUACGAUUUGAUCCGGGAGGAGGAGGCUAGGACUAGUACCUGGGACAACUCUUUGCUACUCGAGCGUCUUUCUGAAGAUGUCAACCCAAGAUAUGACCGUCGAUGGCACGAACUACAGGUCACGAGACGGCAUAUUGCCUGGUUCAAGCUAGCAAGGUUGUAUGUAUUAUUACUCACGGCCCUUCAAUUCUAUAUACCUCACAAACGUUAUAGCGACGCGAAGAGCUCAGGCCAUGAUGAUACAACAAGAACAUGAAGCAAGAGAAGUGGAGACAGGACCUCACUUGAUGGAGAACUAGUCUUGACGCAAGAAGGAACAAAAACAUCUUGUUUGAUGGAGAAGCUGACGCUUCCUCUUCAGAUGGCGAUGAAUUCAUAUGGUGCUUCAUCCAUCUUCAGUCCAAACAGAACAGAUAAAUAGACAGUGAGGGAGGAGGAAGCCAUAUGGUUUAUAGACUAUUUGUAACAAUUUACUCUUUUUUGCUGAAAGUUUUGGUUUGGAGCUUGGGUCAAUAAUGCAGGUUCACAAGAGUAUUUCAGCACAGUUUUGCAUGUGUAUA